GGGGAUGUGGUUCAGUGGUAGAGCUCUUGUCUUGUAUGCAUGAGGCCUUGGGUUCCAUCCCCAGCAUCAUGA
RNAcentral lists this transfer RNA (72 nucleotides) under Cavia porcellus (domestic guinea pig). It matches the Rfam family "tRNA". Rfam says of the family: Transfer RNA (tRNA) molecules are approximately 80 nucleotides in length. Their secondary structure includes four short double-helical elements and three loops (D, anti-codon, and T loops). Lineage: Eukaryota; Metazoa; Chordata; Mammalia; Rodentia; Caviidae. The record is from Rfam by way of RNAcentral.